RNAcentral lists this ribosomal RNA (445 nucleotides) under uncultured bacterium. Its description in RNAcentral is "partial 16S ribosomal RNA". It matches the Rfam family "Bacterial small subunit ribosomal RNA", at positions 354 to 796 of the family's 1533-position model. The record is from RNAcentral.
GUAGGGAAUAUUGGGCAAUGGAUGCAAGUCUGACCCAGCCAUCCCGCGUGCCGGAAGAAGGCCCUCAGGGUUGUCAACGGCUUUUGACGGUGAAGAAUCGACAGGAUGCGUCCUGUUUUGACGGUAGCCGUUGAAUAAGCACCGGCUAACUCCGUGCCAGCAGCCGCGGUAAUACGGAGGGUGCGAGCGUUGUCCGGAUUUAUUGGGUUUAAAGGGUGCGUAGGCUGGAAGGUCAGUCAGCGGUGAAAAGCUGUCGCUUAACGAUAGUCUUGCCGCAGAUACUUCCUUUCUUGGAUGAGGAGGAGGCCACUGGAACGGAUGGUGUAGCGGUGAAAUGCAUAGAUAUCAUCCAGAACACCGAUUGCGAAGGCAGGUGGCUGUACCUUAAUCGACGCUGAUGCACGAAAGCAUGGGGAGCAAACAGGAUUAGAAACCCGUGUAGUCC